UGGUGGGGUUAGAGGGAGGGUCACACCCAGCUCCAUUCCGAACCUGGAAGUUAAGCCUCCCAUCGCCGAUGAUACUAUACCUGUCUGGUAUGGGAAAGUAGGUCGCUGCCACAUU
This 115-nucleotide ribosomal RNA is filed under the name Sulfurovum sp. enrichment culture clone C5. The record is from RNAcentral. Lineage: Bacteria; Pseudomonadati; Campylobacterota; Epsilonproteobacteria; Campylobacterales; Sulfurovaceae.